AACGAACGCUGGCGGCAUGCCUAACACAUGCAAGUCGAACGAGACCUUCGGGUCUAGUGGCGCACGGGUGCGUAACGCGUGGGAACCUGCCCUUAGGUUCGGAAUAACUCCCCGAAAGGGGUGCUAAUACCGGAUAAUGUCUUCGGACCAAAGAUUUAUCGCCUUUGGAUGGGCCCGCGUUGGAUUAGCUAGUUGGUAGGGUAAAAGCCUACCAAGGCGACGAUCCAUAGCUGGUCUGAGAGGAUGAUCAGCCACACUGGGACUGAGACACGGCCCAGACUCCUACGGGAGGCAGCAGUGGGGAAUAUUGGACAGUAGGCGAAAGCCUGAUCCAGCAAUGCCGCGUGAGUGAUGAAGGCCUUAGGGUUGUAAAGCUCUUUUACCCGGGAUGAUAAUGACAGUACCGGGAGAAUAAGCGCCGGCUAACUACGUG
This 433-nucleotide ribosomal RNA is filed under the name uncultured bacterium. RNAcentral describes it as "partial 16S ribosomal RNA". It matches the Rfam family "Bacterial small subunit ribosomal RNA", at positions 29 to 507 of the family's 1533-position model. The record is from RNAcentral.